AUGAACGCUGGCGGCGUGCCUAAUACAUGCAGGUCGAGCGAACAGAUGAGGAGCUUGCUCCUCUGACGUUAGCGGCGGACGGGUGAGUAACACGUGGAUAACCUACCUAUAAGACUGGGAUAACUUCGGGAAACCGGAGCUAAUACCGGAUAAUAUAUUGAACCGCAUGGUUCAAUAGUGAAAGACGGUUUUGCUGUCACUUAUAGAUGGAUCCGCGCCGCAUUAGCUAGUUGGUAAGGUAACGGCUUACCAAGGCAACGAUGCGUAGCCGACCUGAGAGGGUGAUCGGCCACACUGGAACUGAGACACGGUCCAGACUCCUACGGGAGGCAGCAGUAGGGAAUCUUCCGCAAUGGGCGAAAGCCUGACGGAGCAACGCCGCGUGAGUGAUGAAGGUCUUCGGAUCGUAAAACUCUGUUAUUAGAGAAGAACAAAUGUGUAAGUAACUUUGCACGUCUUGACGGUACCUAAUCAGAAAGCCACGGCUAACUACGUG
Molecule: ribosomal RNA, 496 nt
Filed under: uncultured bacterium
Lineage: Bacteria
Description: partial 16S ribosomal RNA
Rfam family: Bacterial small subunit ribosomal RNA
Source: RNAcentral